RNAcentral lists this ribosomal RNA (271 nucleotides) under uncultured bacterium. RNAcentral describes it as "partial 16S ribosomal RNA". It matches the Rfam family "Bacterial small subunit ribosomal RNA", at positions 524 to 795 of the family's 1533-position model. The record is from RNAcentral.
UACGGAGGGGGUUAGCGUUGUUCGGAAUUACUGGUAAAGCGUACGUAGGCGGAUCAGAAAGUUGGGGGGUGAAAUCCCGGGGCUCAACCCCGGAACUGCCUCCAAAAACUCCUGGUCUUGAGUUCGAGAGAGGUGAGUGGAAUUCCAAGUGUAGAGGUGAAAUUCGUAGAUAUUUGGAGGAACACCAGUGGCGAAGGCGGCUCACUGGCUCGAUACUGACGCUGAGGUACGAAAGUGUGGGGAGCAAACAGGAUUAGAUACCCGUGUAGUC